This 253-nucleotide ribosomal RNA is filed under the name uncultured bacterium. Its description in RNAcentral is "partial 16S ribosomal RNA". It matches the Rfam family "Bacterial small subunit ribosomal RNA", at positions 524 to 776 of the family's 1533-position model. The record is from RNAcentral.
UACGUAGGGUGCAAGCGUUAAUCAGAAUUACUGGGCGUAAAGGGUGCGCAGGCGGUUCUGUAAGACAGAUGUGAAAUCCCCGGGCUCAACCUGGGAACUGCAUUUGUGACUGCAGAACUAGAGUAUGUCAGAGGGGGGUGGAAUUCCAAGUGUAGCAGUGAAAUGCGUAGAUAUUUGGAAGAACACCAAUGGCGAAGGCAGCCCCCUGGGACAAAACUGACGCUCAUGCACGAAAGCGCGGGGAGCAAACAGG